GACGAACGCUGGCGGCGUGCCUAAUACAUGCAAGUCGAGCGGACUUUCAAGAAGCUUGCUUUUUGAAAGUUAGCGGCGGACGGGUGAGUAACACGUGGGCAACCUGCCUGCAAGACGGGGAUAACUCCGGGAAACCGGGGCUAAUACCGGAUAAUAUCUUCCUUCGCAUGAAGGAAGGUUGAAAGGCGGCGCAAGCUGCCGCUUGCAGAUGGGCCCGCGGCGCAUUAGCUAGUUGGUGAGGUAACGGCUCACCAAGGCGACGAUGCGUAGCCGACCUGAGAGGGUGAUCGGCCACUCUGGGACUGAGACACGGCCCAGACUCCUACGGGAGGCAGCAGUAGGGAAUCUUCCGCAAUGGACGAAAGUCUGACGGAGCAACGCCGCGUGAGCGAAGAAGGUCUUCGGAUCGUAAAGCUCUGUUGUCAGGGAAGAACAAGUACCGUUCGAACAGGGCGGUACCUUGACGGUACCUGACCAGAAAGCCACGGCUAACUACGUG
This 499-nucleotide ribosomal RNA is filed under the name uncultured bacterium. RNAcentral describes it as "partial 16S ribosomal RNA". It matches the Rfam family "Bacterial small subunit ribosomal RNA", at positions 28 to 507 of the family's 1533-position model. The record is from RNAcentral.